UGGUGACAACUUACAGGCAGUAUUCCUAUCCUGAAUCCUAUGCAAAUAAUGAUCACAUUCCCCAUUUCACGGGAAAUGACAUUUGCUAUCAACAGAAAUGGAUGGGUUGUUCCAGCUUUUCUGAGCCCACGCAGAGGAACUAAUUGAUCUGUACACAGACUGUUCCGGCUUGUUUAGUAAUGAAAUUAGCAACAGUAGAAGCUGAGUCCAAGAGAGCCCUUGGAAAUGCAUCUGCCUGUCUGGGAAUGUGUCAUGGAUUCUGUGCAUGGAGCCACGCCGUGGAGUGCUGCCCUCAGAGAGACAGGAGCAGAGCACAGCUCUGCUGUUCUGAGGGCUGCUGGGCAGACUGGAGCACCGUGAAGGCAAGCAGGCACUGGAGAAUGGAUUCUUUUUUUAUACCACCAAGCUGUCCUCUUCAACAUGCUUUAUUAACAAUCUGAAGUACAUCACCAUCCCGCUUGAGAGAGACGAGGAGAAACCUUGGGUGCCAUUUGGGUAAAACAAAAUGUUUGGAUAAGGUGAUGCUGAGAAACACGCCUCACGAUGACUUAUGCCUAUCUCACAUUUCAUAUCAAUUCUUCCUUUGGGUCCAAAGCAGACCAAAUCCUUGAAACCGUGCCUGGGAAUCCCACCAUUAUUAAAACAGUUGAGCUGUGGUGCCUGUGAUCAGAACGCCCUGUUGCAGAUCCUGGCAUCGGCUGUGAACGGAAGAACUGAUGGCAAAUCACUCGAUAUCAAAAUUGAUCCAGGGGAUAUUUACAAGGCUCGGGUGACCCGGAUGGAAUCUCAGAGUGGUGAGGUCAGGUACCGAGGUGGUUACUACUAUGUUUCCUCUAAGAGUUGCUCAGCUGUUUUGCAUUGCUGUUAAUCAUUCCAAGCCAUUCUUGGCUUCACGGUGCGCAUGUGUCUGAUUGAUACCAGCUUUUUCAUCACCUCAGAUGCUGGCUGAAAAAAAAAAAAGAAUAAUAAAAAGCAAGACAAUGUCAUUUUGUUGGUUAUAC
Non-coding RNA from Meleagris gallopavo (turkey), 1001 nucleotides. The record is from RefSeq and is a predicted model, not a curated record. NCBI's taxonomy places the organism in Eukaryota, Metazoa, Chordata, Aves, Galliformes, Phasianidae.